CCCGCUGCACUGGAAGCAAGGAGUUGUAACCACUGGACUGCCAGGGAAGUCGCACAGCUACCAUUUUAAAUGGCUGUUGUUUCCCAACUUUAGAGACAGCUGAAGAUACUUGUCCAAGGACACACAGACAGUGUGACAUGGCUGAGACUGGAAUGCAAGCGUGUCUGAUUUUAGUCCUUUUCCUUUUCAGUAUGUUGUUCUACACAUCAUGGGGGAAACAAGGGUAAAGAAAAGUCCUGCCUUGAAAGGGUUUCUUCUCUUGGCUUCUAUGCUGAUUUGUGUUUAGCUGCUGAGUAACUAUUCAGUGCUGAGUAACUAUUCCUGCAUUUAUUCAGUGCUUUGCCUAAUGGGGACCUUUCCAUUUUUGAUGUCAUGGAGAAUGUCAGAAAAAAAAAUAACGUUCUUGCUCUUUAUCUGAAGUUAGUUUAAAAAACAGAACAAAACCUACUUUAGCAGGAAAGAGUUACAUGAAGGGUUGUGGAAACAUCAUGCUAUUUCCCAGACAUCUAACGGUUUGGAGUGCUCCUCACAGGUCAUUGGGCUGACUGCCUCGGUUGGCACUGGGGAUGCCAGAAAUACAGCUGAAGCCACAGAAUAUAUCUGCAAAUUGUGUGCUUCUCUCGACACAUCAGUGGUAGCAACAAAGACAAUUUGGAGGAACUGGAGGAGAUUGUUUAUAAGCCCCAGAAGUGUAAGUGGGAUCCAGUAACAAGCCCUUUGGGACUUUGUUACUCUCUGCUAUUCUUAGUUCAGGGCCAUUUAGAUGAACCCUUAAUUUUUACCCUUCCUCUGUUUAGUGGAAAAUAUUUAACCCCAAACUUGGGAAGUAAUCACAUUUCCAGCUUCUUUCCCCAAUGAAGUUCAGGAGUGGCCUGUAGACAGCAAACAUUCUUACUCUUCAUUUCUGCAAAACCCUUAUAAAUGUACUGGCAGUGAGAGAUGGGUGCUUAGAAAAUCAUGUAGAUGGCUCAGUCCUUCCCUGCUUUCCGUGCCUGAGGCAGACACUGAGUUCCCAUUCAUCAUUUGAAUAUGUAUCUGGUAAUUUUGGUUGAAGUGAAAUUAUCUGAACUCAUAUUUUCCCUCAAAAGAUCAGAAUAUGAUUUUAUUAAUAAGAUCAACUAACAAAUGAUUCUUGAAUAUGAAUGCUAUAUUAACCCAGCAAGGGAGAUGGGUACAGAAGAUGCAUAUGAGUUCAUCCCCUUGCUCUCUGAAUAGCAUAUGACUGAAUGAGUAAAAGGCAGAACAUACAUACCUGAAAUAGUCAGGGAGCUGCUUGUAAGGAGUGUAGAGAAGGUACCCAGUCUACACCUUUUAAUAUCACAUACAAAUUUCUUUAUAGUCCAGUCCCCCCUGCCCCCUGAGUUUCAUCUCCUCUCACGACCCAUAAGCCCAACCAAGUCUCAUUCCUUGGGCUCCUCAAACAGGUCAUGUGUUAUGUUCUGUCUCUAAGCUUUGUCCAUCUGAGCAUUUGCACAUGACUGUGCUCACUCCUUCUUGCCUCUUUAUCCCACGACACUGCCUCCCCGGGAAGAAUGAGAGAGUCUUUCCCAUGCUCCAUGACACCUUGCACAUACUGUGUCACAGCACUCUGUGUGGUCAUUUGGCUGUGUAUCUUUCUCUCCCCUAAGAAGACAGACCUCUCUGGAGCACAGAGCCUGUUCUUUUCAGCUAUCACCAGAACGCGGCAUGUGGUAGGUGAUUAAUAAGUUUCUGUGGAUACAAUGCAAAAAUGAAUGUUAGGAACAUUGUGAACACUCCUGGGGGUUGGGUGGGAAGGGAGAAGAUGAAAGAACAGAGACAGGGUUUAAAAUGUGGCAUUUUCAGGAACAAGAUGAUUAUCAGACUUGUCAGAGCAGGGCCUAUGUGUUGAGUAACAGGAAAGCCUGAGUAAGAAGUUGAAUUAGACCCAGACAGUGAAAGAGAUGUUAGAAUCAGUGCAUUAAACACUAGGGAGCCACUGCAAAGUUUCUGAGUAUUUGUUUUAUCAUUCAGAUGACUUGCCUGUGAGCUUGGGGCCUAGGGUUUUACAGAGGAAGUAACAAAGGCAGAGAAAGGUUUGGAGAGGCAUGCUUUGAACUAUGAAGUGUGCUUCCUGAAAAAUACUCAUUUUCCUUUGAUGGCUCUAGUUUUCAGGAAAGUGGAAUCACGGACCACCAACAGAUUUAAAUGCAACAUAUCUCAGUUGAUGAUAGAGACAGAGUCUGGUAAAGAGUAUCUUUGAAGAACUUGGUACCAUAACUCUCGAAAACUUAUCUCAAAUUCAAAAUAGGAAUUUUGGAACACAGAGAUAUGAAGAGUGGAUUAUCGCAGUUCAGAAAGCGUGCAUGGUGUUUCAGAUGCCAAAGAUGAAGAGAGCAGGAUUUGUAAAGCACUGUUUUUCUACACAUCGCAUUUGUGGCCACAUGCUGAGAAAUCCAGAGUCUCUGGUUGUUUGCUGGCUAAUCAAGAAGAGAUACAAUGAUGCCCUCGUUAUCAAUGAGCAUGCUCGAAUGAAAGAUGCUCUGGAUUACUUAAAAGACUUCUUCAGAAAUGUCCAAGCAGAAGGAUUUGAUGAGA
Non-coding RNA from Delphinapterus leucas (beluga whale), 2556 nucleotides. The record is from RefSeq and is a predicted model, not a curated record. Lineage: Eukaryota; Metazoa; Chordata; Mammalia; Artiodactyla; Monodontidae.